This 394-nucleotide unclassified non-coding RNA is filed under the name Hevea brasiliensis (rubber tree). The record is from RNAcentral. Lineage: Eukaryota; Viridiplantae; Streptophyta; Magnoliopsida; Malpighiales; Euphorbiaceae.
GGAAAGUUUAAGGUUUUUGCCCAAGAUGAUAUGGUUGAUGCAGGUGUCUUAGAUGUGUUCUGAGCAGAACUAUUGUUCUGGGAAGCAAUUGGCUUGGGAGCUUCAGCAUCAGAAGGUUUAGCGGAGAGUUGUGGAGAUGAACUAGUGGAUUCAGAUUCCAUUGGUCGGUCAAUGAGACUGAAAAUUGAACAGAAGCUGGUGCAAGCUCUAAUUCCGUUUUCGAAUUUCAAAUGAAUGCCCAGAACUCAGCCAACGGUUUCUACAUUCAAGGCGGUGCAACGGUGGUGGCUGGUGGCUUCCGGCGACUUGUGCUUGUUAGUUUGGACAAAUUUAUCCAGAUCGCGGAUCGUAGUUGUAGUCGAAGCUCAAUUAAAAUAUAUAUAUUUUUUAUAAA